This 385-nucleotide ribosomal RNA is filed under the name uncultured bacterium. RNAcentral describes it as "bacterial SSU rRNA". It matches the Rfam family "Bacterial small subunit ribosomal RNA", at positions 790 to 1167 of the family's 1533-position model. The record is from RNAcentral.
GUAGUCCACGCCCUAAACGAUGUGUGCUGGAUCACGGCGGCUCUGACGCCGUCGGGAUCGCAGAGAAAUUGCUAAGCACACCGCCUGGGGAGUACGGUCGCAAGAUUAAAACUCAAAGAAAUUGACGGGGGCUCACACAAGCGGUGGAGCAUGUGGCUCAAUUCGAAGCAACGCGCAGAACCUUACCUGGGUUUGACAUGCACGGAUUAGUGGGUGGAAACAUUCAUAACGCUCGCAAGAGUGGAACGUGCACAGGUGCUGCAUGGCUGUCGUCAGCUCGUGCUGUGAAGCGUCGGGUUAAGUCCCUUAACGAGCGCAACCCUUGUCGUUAGUUACUAACAGGUAAUGCUGAGGACUCUAACGAGACUGCCGGUGUCAAACCGGA